RNAcentral lists this ribosomal RNA (468 nucleotides) under uncultured bacterium. Its description in RNAcentral is "partial 16S ribosomal RNA". It matches the Rfam family "Bacterial small subunit ribosomal RNA", at positions 28 to 507 of the family's 1533-position model. The record is from RNAcentral.
GACGAACGCUGGCGGCGUGCUUAACACAUGCAAGUCGAACGGAAAGGCCCUGCUUUUGUGGGGUGCUCGAGUGGCGAACGGGUGAGUAACACGUGAGUAACCUGCCCUUGACUUUGGGAUAACUUCAGGAAACUGGGGCUAAUACCGGAUAGGAGCUCCUGCUGCAUGGUGGGGGUUGGAAAGUUUCGGCGGUUGGGGAUGGACUCGCGGCUUAUCAGCUUGUUGGUGGGGUAGUGGCUUACCAAGGCUUUGACGGGUAGCCGGCCUGAGAGGGUGACCGGCCACAUUGGGACUGAGAUACGGCCCAGACUCCUACGGGAGGCAGCAGUGGGGAAUAUUGCACAAUGGGCGGAAGCCUGAUGCAGCAACGCCGCGUGCGGGAUGGCGGCCUUCGGGUUGUAGACCGCUUUCGCCUGUGACGAAGCGUGAGUGACGGUAAUGGGUAAAGAAGCACCGGCUAACUACGUG